Molecule: long non-coding RNA, 347 nt
Filed under: Dasypus novemcinctus (nine-banded armadillo)
Lineage: Eukaryota; Metazoa; Chordata; Mammalia; Cingulata; Dasypodidae
Description: lncRNA (ENSDNOG00000050968.1)
Source: RNAcentral
GGCUGUUUGGGAAUCUGUGCCACCUUCAGGUUGUGGGAGCUAUUGUGGUGAGGAGGGACCUCCAGGGUCAUGUUUGUGUCCCAGGGAAGACUGAGUACUUGUCAUCUGGUGGUUGACUUAGAGAGCUGACAGAAUUAACUGAUGCUUUUUUCCUCCUGACUCUGCAGUUAGAGCAACAUGCCCUCUUUCCUGUUGCUGGAAGCCGUCUGUAUCUUCUUGUUUUCCAGAGCACCCCCAUCCCUUCCUCUUCAGGAAGUCCAUGUAAACAGGGAGACCAUCGGGAAGAUUUCAGCUGCCAGCAAAAGUAAGCCCGUGUUUGACUUCACCUCCAGACACCCUCCACGGAA